CAGCCGCCACGGUAAUACGUAGGUCCCGAGCGUUGUCCGGAUUUAUUGGGCGUAAAGCGAGCGCAGGCGGUUAGAUAAGUCUGAAGUUAAAGGCUGUGGCUUAACCAUAGUACGCUUUGGAAACUGUUUAACUUGAGUGCAGAAGGGGAGAGUGGAAUUCUAUGUGUAGCGGUGAAAUGCGUAGAUAUAUGGAGGAACACCGGUGGCGAAAGCGGCUCUCUGGUCUGUAACUGACGCUGAGGCUCGAAAGCGUGGGGAGCGAACAGGAUUAGAUACCCCUGUAGUCCCUGUCUCUUAUACA
Molecule: ribosomal RNA, 301 nt
Filed under: uncultured bacterium
Lineage: Bacteria
Description: partial 16S ribosomal RNA
Rfam family: Bacterial small subunit ribosomal RNA
Source: RNAcentral